GUUGCGGUGGCCGAGUGGUUAAGGCGUUGGAUUCGAAAUCCAAUGGGACCUUCCCGCGCAGGUUCAAAUCCUGCCCCCAACG
This is a non-coding RNA of Nematostella vectensis (starlet sea anemone), 82 nucleotides long. NCBI's taxonomy places the organism in Eukaryota, Metazoa, Cnidaria, Anthozoa, Actiniaria, Edwardsiidae. The record is from Rfam.